RNAcentral lists this transfer RNA (75 nucleotides) under Arthrobacter sp. UCD-GKA. RNAcentral's name for it is "tRNA-Thr". It matches the Rfam family "tRNA". Rfam says of the family: Transfer RNA (tRNA) molecules are approximately 80 nucleotides in length. Their secondary structure includes four short double-helical elements and three loops (D, anti-codon, and T loops). Further hydrogen bonds mediate the characteristic L-shaped molecular structure. tRNAs have two regions of fundamental functional importance: the anti-codon, which is responsible for specific mRNA codon recognition, and the 3' end, to which the tRNAs corresponding amino acid is attached (by aminoacyl-tRNA synthetases). tRNAs cope with the degeneracy of the genetic code in two manners: having more than one tRNA (with a specific anti-codon) for a particular amino acid; and 'wobble' base-pairing, i.e. permitting non-standard base-pairing at the 3rd anti-codon position. Lineage: Bacteria; Bacillati; Actinomycetota; Actinomycetes; Micrococcales; Micrococcaceae. RNAcentral also lists the same sequence under 1 other name. The record is from RNAcentral.
GCCCCCCUAGCUCAGUGGUAGAGCGCGUUCUUGGUAAGAACGAGGUCACCGGAUCGAUUCCGGUGGGGGGCUCGA